AGUGGCGCUUGUUGAUCUUUUGUCCAGUUGUGGUUCCCUAUUAUGCACCGACUCUGAGUCAGAAGCUGGUCUAGCUGCUAGGUUUUCCGCGCCGUUCAACGCUGCCGGCGACUGCUCGACUGGUAGCGCUUGACGUCCCUCGGAAGUCGCCGUUGUCUGAGCCUCCUGGUUCAACGCGCAGGCGUCGCGUUUUCCAUCUACAUCUCCCUUAGAGGCGUUGGCGUUCUGGGUUUCGUGCACAUCAUGAUCAUUCUCAAGUGACUUCCCGGGACGACUGCGCUUUUGCUCGCGCUGCGAGGCGGCGUCUGUCGACAGUUGCCUCAGUUCUCCCGAGACCAACUGGAUAAUUUCAUCACCUAGGCCUGCUCGCUCACCCGCAAGAAGAGAGUUAAGCUCUCCGGCCAUAAAUUCUGCGCUGCGUCGGUUCUCAACCAUGGUCAAGAUGUACUCGGGAAGCAUUUCCUCCACGGGGUGCGGCCCCGCUCCGAAGAGUGCACGCAGACGCUCCUGAAGUUUGCCGAGCAACGCAGUCCGUUCUUCAUGGUUGAGUUUUCGCUCUAACAGAACCCCGCCUUGCGCACCCUGUGCUGCAGUGUUCAUAAUACAAACGAAAACUUAGCCGUGAGGUCUGAAACCCCGCCAAAGCGUGUCUCGAGAAGCCUUGUGGAUAAAAACGCACGUGGCAGAGUCGGCUUCGACGCACACCGUUAUGCUCAUUUGUAUAGACUUGUACAGUUCUCGGUUUGAGCGCUGUGUGGCGUACGCGUUUCAACUCCUGCCUCAGCAACCUGAAAAUCGUUCGUCUUUUUGGCACGACUCGCGAGUCAAAGGUCUCUAUCGCAGACGCUGCGGUGCCUGGGAAGCGUCAAGAUAUAGAGGCGCCUUUGCGGCACGGUUGGGUUCAGCUCCAGGGUUCAGGGACGUGUACGGUAUGCGAGUCCGCUGGCGCUCGUCGAAGAGUGCCGCUGCUGUGCGUGUCUGGUAAGGGCGCCGUCGACGUUUGGCACCAGCGUUGGGAGUGCAGCCAGCCCUUGUGGACUCGAAGAGCUAUUCACAAACAUCAAACGGUCUUUCAGUGAAGGUGGCAAGCUGCGAACUAAAAUCGAGCAAGCUAUGCUUGACACUAGGACGUGGAGGGCGCUAUCCUGGUUUAGAGGCCGCUGCGAUGCGCGCCUCGUUCUCGAGUUUCACGUGGUUGCUGCCGGGCCAGCUUGGGGAGAGCAAAUACAUUGGGAGCGCAUUGGCAUAGCGACGGCUUCGGGAUAGGGAUCAGGCAGGAGCAGACGAAUACGCCCGUGUGGAACGUCGGACAGGUGUCGGCAAACGCAUCGUGUCGCCCAAAACGCUCAGCAAGUCACCAAUAUUCUGUGUAUUUGCAUCGGUUGCUGGAAGACGGCUCAUAUGUUGUGAAAUGCUAUAUAUCGUUCAUGAGCAUAUACAGCGCGUAAUGUGUGCUGACGAACGUCUAGAGAUCAGUGGGCAACAUCCUUGCAGGUCUGCCGGCCUGAUAUGGUUAACGUCAUUCAUUGACGAGAGCGCGCUUUCCUUGAGGGUACCAGGGUGCUUAUUGAACGCAGUAUGGUGCAAGCUGGCCAGGGAAAUGGAGAAUUUUCGCAUGUGCCCCGCAUUCCCCGCGUCGCCUUUUAGGAGCUCUGUGGAUAAUCAGCAUGGCACGCAGCUGAUGAGGUGCUCCUGCUGCCCUAGUCUCCGUUUAUGCCUGAAACAGAUGAUUGCCAUUCAAGUGAAUGCAGGAUGUGCCAGUAACUCGCAUGGAGACGGUUUCGUGCCGUAACGCACAGUGGCCCACUGACCACAUGCGCGAUGAGACUUCUACGCACUCGCACAGUUCGGUAAUAGACGCCUGCUGAUAAAGGUAUCCGCACGCACC
Molecule: RNA transcript, 1888 nt
Organism: Cyanidioschyzon merolae strain 10D
Lineage: Eukaryota; Rhodophyta; Bangiophyceae; Cyanidiales; Cyanidiaceae
Exons: 1
Source: RefSeq, a predicted model, not a curated record